AAGUCGAGCGAACAGACGAGGAGCUUGCUCCUCUAACGUUAGCGGCGGACGGGUGAGUAACACGUGGAUAACCUACCUAUAAGACUGGGAUAACUUCGGGAAACCGGAGCUAAUACCGGAUAAUAUAUUGAACCGCAUGGUUCAAUAGUGAAAGACGGUUUUGCUGUCACUUAUAGAUGGAUCCGCGCCGCAUUAGCUAGUUGGUAAGGUAACAGCUUACCAAGGCAACGAUGCGUAGCCGACCUGAGAGGGUGAUCGGCCACACUGGAACUGAGACACGGUCCAGACUCCUACGGGAGGCAGCAGUAGGGAAUCUUCCGCAAUGGGCGAAAGCCUGACGGAGCAACGCCGCGUGAGUGAUGAAGGUCUUCGGAUCGUAAAACUCUGUUAUUAGGGAAGAACAAAUGUGUAAGUAACUAUGCACGUCUUGACGGUACCUAAUCAGAAAGCCACGGCUAACUACGUGCCAGCAGCCGCGGUAAUACGUAGGUGGCAAGCGUUAUCCGGAAUUAUUGGGCGUAAAGCGCGCGUAGGCGGUUUUUUAAGUCUGAUGUGAAAGCCCACGGCUCAACCGUGGAGGGUCAUUGGAAACUGGAAAACUUGAGUGCAGAAGAGGAAAGUGGAAUUCCAUGUGUAGCGGUGAAAUGCGCAGAGAUAUGGAGGAACACCAGUGGCGAAGGCGACUUUCUGGUCUGUAACUGACGCUGAUGUGCGAAAG
This 718-nucleotide ribosomal RNA is filed under the name uncultured Staphylococcus sp. RNAcentral describes it as "bacterial SSU rRNA". It matches the Rfam family "Bacterial small subunit ribosomal RNA", at positions 59 to 759 of the family's 1533-position model. The record is from RNAcentral. Lineage: Bacteria; Bacillati; Bacillota; Bacilli; Caryophanales; Staphylococcaceae.